UAGCUCAGCUGGUAAAGCAUCUGCCUGCAAUGCAGGAGACCCUGGUUUGAUUCCUGG
This 57-nucleotide transfer RNA is filed under the name Bos taurus (domestic cattle). It matches the Rfam family "tRNA", at positions 8 to 63 of the family's 71-position model. From Rfam's summary of the family: Transfer RNA (tRNA) molecules are approximately 80 nucleotides in length. The record is from Rfam by way of RNAcentral. RNAcentral also lists the same sequence under 7 other names. Lineage: Eukaryota; Metazoa; Chordata; Mammalia; Artiodactyla; Bovidae.